GCUUCUAUAGCUCAGUUGGGAGAGCGUACGACUGAAGUUUCAGUCUUUGAAAUCGUAAGGUCCCUGGUUCGAACCCGGGUGGAAGCA
Microbotryomycetes sp. JL221 is the source of this 87-nucleotide non-coding RNA. Lineage: Eukaryota; Fungi; Basidiomycota; Microbotryomycetes. The record is from the annotation of a GenBank genome assembly.